GCCAGUCGCCCAUGACGUUCACGGCAUCUUUCUGUGCUGCCUUUCCCAUGGCUGUGGUUCCAUGCAUAGGGAAGCUACACGCCAUCCUUAACCCAGACUACAGCACUGGAGAAAUCGGAGAUUAGGUGCAGGAAAGGAGUACACAGUACACCUUCCCUGUGUUACUGCAGCGGGGGAAAUUUCUCUUUUCAAGGUUCAGCAAAACAGCCCACAGCAGCUCACAGAACACCCUUCAUGCACUUGAUACACAGGGCAACAAAGCUCAAUUGGCACAGCUGUUCCAGUUUGGAAUUUAUUUCUGCCUAAAAGUUGGAGGGGAAAAAGGGGGAAAGAAGAUUUGAGUGUUCAGUUUGGUUUUUCAGGUCAGAAUUUAACAAAACCUACACAGAAAGCAUUCAUGGUUCUUAGACAUAUCCUCCUCAUAGCUGAUAAGAUUAACCUGAGCACAAUGAUGUCCACUUAUUGUCCUCAGCAGAUAUAGUAUUUCAAGCUAAACAAACCAAGCGCAUUUCAUACAAGUCUUACUACCUGUGAAUUCAUUGAUAGGCUCACCUCAAGUUCCUCAUUGUACACUUCAGCAUUUGAAAUUAGAUUCUUUAAGCUGGUAAUUUCAUGCAUUAGUUGAAUCUGUGGAGCAAAUUAAAGCAAAAUUGCAGAGGAUGUUAGAAAGCACCCACACCAGUAGUUUUAGUUGCCAACACCAUGAAAACAAGCCAGGUCUAUCUUGUGUUUUCUUUUUUAUUAGUAUAUACUCACACAUUUACUCAAACUGCUACAAAGCAAGACGCUACAUAUUCAUUCAAAAUGGACAUGUGAGAUGCAAAGCUCUGUUUUAGCUCCCCAGUAAUUAAGAAGGAUUCAAGUACAAUUUAAUCUGCAAUAGUUUGACAAGCAAGAGCAAUGUGAUCAAAGCAAUUAAUGCAGAAAUUGUACAGAUACGAUACUUCAAAUUCCAGUCACGUUAAGCAGCUUUUUAUGACACAGUGCAGAUAUUUAUGAUUUAAUCUAUUCACUGACAGGAAUGAGAAGGUGCCAAAAUGGAAGUAAAACAAGCCAUGAACACAUUCAGUGGCAUUGCCUGAAAGAAAUCAUAAGUAGAAGACCAGAUAGGAGCUUUUUCCUUUACUUUCUCUUGGUCUUUGUUAGCAAAGUUUUACAAUAAGCACUCAUCUACAAGUACUCAUGUAUAGUCACAAGCAAAGGUAAGAAAAUGCAAUCUGCAAAUUUAAUAUUAGUGAAAAGCUUUAAAACAAGCACCAUCCUAUGAGUAUUCCUAUGUAGUUUACCUGUAUAAACUGAUAUAUUUAAUUAAUUUAUUUGGUGAAGUAUGUGACCUUUCAGUAUUGCUCUAAGUAAUCUACUACAUGGGUAUCAAUAAAUACUUACAUUUUAUGGACUGUCUUCAGACAUCUGAAAGCAAAUAAUUAAAAAAGCAACUCUUGCAAUGGAAGCUACUUUAGACAUUACAUCUGUUAUUAGAUACCCAAAAACUCUGCAGGGAAAACUAAUGUAGGAUUUAUUAAACAUUAGCUAAGAGAGAUAGCACAUUCAGUCUAGCAUACAAAGGGUCUUCUAAAAAGAAUAUUAAAUACAAGCUAAAUGGUAAUACUUUAUAGAGCAAAUUUCUUUAAGAUCCAGAAAUCACUGUAGGGGACACAAUACAAAUAAGCAGUGACAUUGUUAAAUUGCAACCUGAAAUAAAAACGUAAAAGGAUGUAAAAAACUUCAACAUUAGUGUCAUGAUCAGAAGAUUAGACAGACUAAUGUGCACAAGUAAUGUCCAGAAAAGCAAUCAGGAAAGAAACUGAACAAUACAUCCCUGUCUCAAGACCUCAAGUUACUGUUUGUGAAUCAACAUUCAAUGCUAUGUGGACUGAAUAAACUCCAGAAAGCACUUAAACAUAGAGAAUUCAUCUAUUUCAAUGCAGCUUACCUCAUGAUCUUUUUGUGUUUGCUUUUCCAGUGCUUCAAAUUCAUCGAUUUCUGUUUUUUCCUUCAGUUUCUCUUUCAGUUCAUUUAUUUCUGAUUUCAACUGCUCAUUUUCCAGCACUAGGUUAUCAAAGUUAGCUUGCAGGACGUUGACCUCAUUUACAGCAAUAUCCUGAAGAAGUAGCACAAGAAACUUUAGAAGCUGUUGCUGCAAUGUCAGCCUUAUUUCUAGAAAAUUCAGAAUAGACCUACCUUUUCUAGUGCUAAUGCUUCACAGAGUUGCACAGAUUCUUCAAAGUCUUUCUGGGUCUAGAAAAAGAAACACUCUCAGUUAGCAGAUCUACAAGAUCAAGCAAGUGGAGUAUUAUAUUCCUUGUUGCUUGUCUUUUCACACAGCUAAUCCUAUUUAAAGACCAGAGUUGACUGGAUCAUUUGCCACAAACCCACAGAAGCACAGAACCAUACCACAGCUUCACAGAGAUGUCCAAGAGACUUUCUAACCAGUUUCAAUAAUUCUACAGACACAGAACACUGGCUGAUCUUACUGAGAAGCAUGUCAUGCAUAUGUGCAGUAUCAGAAAGUCAAAACAGAUUAUGAUGUUACCCAAUUCAUGCUGGGACCAGCAACCCAUUCUACUUCUGAAAUUUGAUCAGGAACCAUCAGGCAAUGGCUGUCAUACCCAGAAUUCUCUAAGGUAGCUGAAAAGAAAGGUGUAUUAACAAAAGUACCAACAGAUUUUAAAGUGAGCAUCAAAUAUUCUCUCAUAAAAUAAUUUUACCACAUUAGAAAUAAUCAUUCGAUGGCAAAAACACAGCACACUGAGUAAGACUUCUGACUCUCAUGAUUUUCUGUUAUGAAAGGGAACACCACUGAAGUCCAAUCCCUAUAGUUAUGUUGACCAUCUUAUCACAAGUUUAUGAAGCCUAAAUCAAAUGCAGAAUAUAUGCUUAAGUACAGACUAGGAGAAGUUUGAGUGUCGAGGAAAGAAUCACUCAACAGUAACCUUCAAGAUGAAAGGAAAAAAAGCACCUACCCCCAUACAGAAAAAAAAAAAGCCUAGAACAAUCCACUUACAAGCAAACACAUGUUUGACAGGGGAGGUAAUAAGGAUGUAAGGUGUAAUUCAGCAACAAUACUGCUAAACUGUUCUCUUGUCUCCAGUUCAAUUUUCUUAGAAAAUUUAUUUUCCAACUUUCAGUUCACUCCUUAUGAAUCCUUGAAUUUUUCUAUCUCAAUCUUAUCUUUGAGUAAGGACUUCUAUUCUUGUUGAGGAUUUGGGGAUUUUACACACACACCUCUGCAUUUUUUGGGGAAACAAUGUGGGUUGAUACGGACAGUCUGUGUUAAAGAACACUUUCCCAAAAAACUAGGGUGUGUGGGUAGGCUGCAUGGCAAGUGUUCAUAGAACCUGCCAUUUACCUUACAGCUCUCCCCUUUGGUUUAAAGAAUUGAAAGCUCAAUAUCAAGGGAAGGUGGGGUAGUAGAAGCACUUUUCAUUGAAAAAUGUGAACAUCAACCCUUGGAGUCUUGUUAAUUUGUUUUUCAAUUUGUGCUAUCAAAGGAUCAACUUAUUCCCUUUGGGAAAUGUAAUGCAGUGCUUGCAAAGUUAUUUAUUGGAAUUUCACAGAAAAUGAAAUAGAAUGGUCUGGGUUGGAAAGGACCUCAAAGACCAUCUAGUUACUUACAAUCCUCCACAUCUGGUAUUGCUGGCAGAGACAACUUCAUUUUUUUUGUUUCAGUUGGCAUUACAUUUUCAAAGUCUUCAAAAAAGCUCACAUUUGCCUGGUUUAUUUUACCAGGAGCCCAAGUAACUCUUCUUCUUCUCUUGGCCUUUAAAAAAGUAUUUACAGAAAAAGUGAUAAAACCAAACCACUAGGCAGAGAGUAAAUGUUGCCUCAAGCUAGUUCUGUAUCAGUACCUGUAUCACCAGUUAACUAGACAGUAGCUUGCAGUUUCCUCAAAAUUAGUUGGAAAGCAAAAAAGUCCUUGCAGUCUGUUCACCACAAGGCAACAUUGAAUUGAUAGCAGUUAAUUUAUAAGUUAGCCCUUUAAAAAUAUGAAAAAAGAGUGAAAAUUGCCCAUCAUACUUGCUCUUCAUUAUCAAUAUAGACCUAUGUAUGUAAUGUUACCUUUUGCAAAGUAUUUCAGAGUUAUCAGGUAAGAUCUGAACAGGUGCUUACUUUAACAUUCUGUUUUGAGGCAAAGGAAGCAGAAGUCACCAGCAUCUCAGUUAAGUUUCGUAUCCUGUCCUCCUGUACUUUUUGAAGGGAAUUUUUUUCUUCCAACAGCUGGGCCAGCUGAUCCUUUUCCAUUGCGUGAAUCUGAGUUUUUGAAGACACCUUCCAAGAGAAUAAUCACACUGACAUUUUAAGAGCAGAAACCACUCCUACAGAAGAUACACAAUUACUGAUACUUAAAAAUAACUACAUACAUAUACUCCUUUAAGUCUGGAAGAGAAAUCUUUAAUCCUUAAGAAGGAAACUGACAGUUUAGUCUACAUUUUGACUGCAGACUUAGUAUUUAAAAGUGGUCAAAACUCCCAGAAACAAUACAGUCCCAGAUUUUUCUACAUAUAAAAAGAGCAUUCUCCCAAACAUAACUCACUACCUGCUAUCACAGAAGACACGAAACAUACUCCCAAGUUCACGUUGCAAAUCCAUUAUCAUUAAAAAGAAGAAAUAAUUUUUCUAAAAAUUUUCUCUAAUGAUAUUUAUAAUUGCAAUAAAAAAUGUGCAUUCUUUGAUUUGAUGCACUAGAACAGUAAGUUCAUCAUUGUUAUUUUCCUGCGCUUUACGUUUUAUUAUCUGUGGUCUAACAGGACUUGCAAGAUUCUUCCACCGCUCCAGAGAUUUUUAGAGAAGGAAAAACAUCAGGGACCACAUUGUUUGAAGCCCUUCAGAAGAUCCAAGUCAUUAAAGAUCCAGCAGAUUACAUUUUCACCCCUCAAACCUGUCUACAAUAACUAGUGCUGGAGAAGAGGUGAGAAGCUUUACCUGAAGAGUGCUGAGUGUCUCAUCAAAAGAAACAGGAGUAAUUGUACAAAUAAUAACUGUUUUAGCAUUUCCUCCAAGGGAGUUCUGCAGAAUUCGAGUCAGCUUGCUGUCUCUGUAAUUUAUGAAGCUAAUAAAAAAGAAGCAACAACAACAAAAAAUGUCAGAUUUCUGCAUUAACAUGGUAAAUACCUUUUCUAGAGGUAACAGGUUAUGUCAAACAGCUACCUACAUAAGAUUAUAAAGAAAGGAUUUUAAUUUCUUAGUUUAGCAGUGCUAUCUUAUAACAGGUGUACAAACAGUUGCUUACCCAGAAGGGUCAUCACAAAGUUUUUUGAUAACUUGACCCAGGAUGAACAAGCUCCGAUUUAUAUUACAGCCUUCUUUCAGUCGAACACCUAGGUACCACAAAUUUUAUUGUUAUUAUUUUUAAUUUAAAACAAUAUUAAGAUACAUUUUCAACCUGUCAAAUUUUGUGUUAUGUUAUGCUCAGUCAAGAGGGAUUUAUUAACCAAGAGUUAAACCUUAAGUGCCACAAUGCACUA
This is a long non-coding RNA of Passer domesticus (house sparrow), 5465 nucleotides long. RefSeq lists it as uncharacterized. Lineage: Eukaryota; Metazoa; Chordata; Aves; Passeriformes; Passeridae. The transcript has 5 exons. The record is from RefSeq and is a predicted model, not a curated record.